Small nucleolar RNA from Amphiprion ocellaris (clown anemonefish), 142 nucleotides. RefSeq annotates it as small nucleolar RNA SNORA79. NCBI's taxonomy places the organism in Eukaryota, Metazoa, Chordata, Actinopteri, Pomacentridae. The transcript has a single exon. The record is from RefSeq and is a predicted model, not a curated record.
UGACGUCGGUUCCUCCUCCUGACUGCAGUGAAUCAGGAGGAUUUUACGACGUCGCAGAGAAACUCGGGUCUUUUUCACCCAGAAAGCUUCCGGCUGCAGCCGAAUCUAAAUCAGCUUCCUGGUUUUGCGGGACCCAACAAAC